This 424-nucleotide ribosomal RNA is filed under the name uncultured prokaryote. RNAcentral describes it as "bacterial SSU rRNA". It matches the Rfam family "Bacterial small subunit ribosomal RNA", at positions 355 to 776 of the family's 1533-position model. The record is from RNAcentral. RNAcentral also lists the same sequence under 1 other name.
UGAGGAAUAUUGGUCAAUGGGCGCAAGCCUGAACCAGCCAUCCCGCGUGAAGGAAGAAGGCGCUAUGCGUCGUAAACUUCUUUUGCAGGUCAAGAAUGUUCCGUACGUGUACGGGAUUGACGGUAAUCUGUGAAUAAGCAUCGGCUAACUCCCUGCCAGCAGCCGCGGUAAUACGGAUGAUGCGAGCGUUAUCCGGAUUUAUUGGGUUUAAAGGGUGCGUAGGCGGAUUGAUAAGUCAGUGGUGAAAUCCUGCAGCUUAACUGUAGCAUUGCCGUUGAUACUGUCAGUCUUGAGUAUGGUUAAGGUAGGCGGAAUGUGUAAUGUAGCGGUGAAAUGCUUAGAUAUUACACAGAACACCGAUUGCGAAGGCAGCUUACUGAACCAUAACUGACGCUGAGGCACGAAAGCGUGGGGAGCGAACAGG